Molecule: ribosomal RNA, 253 nt
Filed under: uncultured soil bacterium
Lineage: Bacteria
Description: partial 16S ribosomal RNA
Rfam family: Bacterial small subunit ribosomal RNA
Source: RNAcentral
AGGACGAACGCUGGCGGCGUGCUUAACACAUGCAAGUCGAACGGUGAACCACUUCGGUGGGGAUCAGUGGCGAACGGGUGAGUAACACGUGGGCAACCUGCCCCUAGCUCUGGGAUAACCUCGGGAAACCGAGGCUAAUACCGGAUAUGACUCCGAGCGGCAUCGCUUGGAGUGGAAAGUUUUCGGCUAGGGAUGGGCCCGCGGCCUAUCAGCUUGUUGGUGGGGUAAUGGCCUACCAAGGCGACGACGGGUA